This 2833-nucleotide ribosomal RNA is filed under the name Escherichia coli. RNAcentral describes it as "partial 23S ribosomal RNA". It matches the Rfam family "Bacterial large subunit ribosomal RNA". Lineage: Bacteria; Pseudomonadati; Pseudomonadota; Gammaproteobacteria; Enterobacterales; Enterobacteriaceae. The record is from RNAcentral.
AUAUGAACCGUUAUAACCGGCGAUUUCCGAAUGGGGAAACCCAGUGUGAUUCGUCACACUAUCAUUAACUGAAUCCAUAGGUUAAUGAGGCGAACCGGGGGAACUGAAACAUCUAAGUACCCCGAGGAAAAGAAAUCAACCGAGAUUCCCCCAGUAGCGGCGAGCGAACGGGGAGCAGCCCAGAGCCUGAAUCAGCAUGUGUGUUAGUGGAAGCGUCUGGAAAGGCGCGCGAUACAGGGUGACAGCCCCGUACACAAAAAUGCACAUACUGUGAGCUCGAUGAGUAGGGCGGGACACGUGGUAUCCUGUCUGAAUAUGGGGGGACCAUCCUCCAAGGCUAAAUACUCCUGACUGACCGAUAGUGAACCAGUACCGUGAGGGAAAGGCGAAAAGAACCCCGGCGAGGGGAGUGAAAAAGAACCUGAAACCGUGUACGUACAAGCAGUGGGAGCACGCUUAGGCGUGUGACUGCGUACCUUUUGUAUAAUGGGUCAGCGACUUAUAUUCUGUAGCAAGGUUAACCGAAUAGGGGAGCCGAAGGGAAACCGAGUCUUAACUGGGCGUUAAGUUGCAGGGUAUAGACCCGAAACCCGGUGAUCUAGCCAUGGGCAGGUUGAAGGUUGGGUAACACUAACUGGAGGACCGAACCGACUAAUGUUGAAAAAUUAGCGGAUGACUUGUGGCUGGGGGUGAAAGGCCAAUCAAACCGGGAGAUAGCUGGUUCUCCCCGAAAGCUAUUUAGGUAGCGCCUCGUGAAUUCAUCUCCGGGGGUAGAGCACUGUUUCGGCAAGGGGGUCAUCCCGACUUACCAACCCGAUGCAAACUGCGAAUACCGGAGAAUGUUAUCACGGGAGACACACGGCGGGUGCUAACGUCCGUCGUGAAGAGGGAAACAACCCAGACCGCCAGCUAAGGUCCCAAAGUCAUGGUUAAGUGGGAAACGAUGUGGGAAGGCCCAGACAGCCAGGAUGUUGGCUUAGAAGCAGCCAUCAUUUAAAGAAAGCGUAAUAGCUCACUGGUCGAGUCGGCCUGCGCGGAAGAUGUAACGGGGCUAAACCAUGCACCGAAGCUGCGGCAGCGACGCUGAUGCGUUGUUGGGUAGGGGAGCGUUCUGUAAGCCUGUGAAGGUGUACUGUGAGGUAUGCUGGAGGUAUCAGAAGUGCGAAUGCUGACAUAAGUAACGAUAAAGCGGGUGAAAAGCCCGCUCGCCGGAAGACCAAGGGUUCCUGUCCAACGUUAAUCGGGGCAGGGUGAGUCGACCCCUAAGGCGAGGCCGAAAGGCGUAGUCGAUGGGAAACAGGUUAAUAUUCCUGUACUUGGUGUUACUGCGAAGGGGGGACGGAGAAGGCUAUGUUGGCCGGGCGACGGUUGUCCCGGUUUAAGCGUGUAGGCUGGUUUUCCAGGCAAAUCCGGAAAAUCAAGGCUGAGGCGUGAUGACGAGGCACUACGGUGCUGAAGCAACAAAUGCCCUGCUUCCAGGAAAAGCCUCUAAGCAUCAGGUAACAUCAAAUCGUACCCCAAACCGACACAGGUGGUCAGGUAGAGAAUACCAAGGCGCUUGAGAGAACUCGGGUGAAGGAACUAGGCAAAAUGGUGCCGUAACUUCGGGAGAAGGCACGCUGAUAUGUAGGUGAAGCGACUUGCUCGUGGAGCUGAAAUCAGUCGAAGAUACCAGCUGGCUGCAACUGUUUAUUAAAAACACAGCACUGUGCAAACACGAAAGUGGACGUAUACGGUGUGACGCCUGCCCGGUGCCGGAAGGUUAAUUGAUGGGGUCAGCGCAAGCGAAGCUCUUGAUCGAAGCCCCGGUAAACGGCGGCCGUAACUAUAACGGUCCUAAGGUAGCGAAAUUCCUUGUCGGGUAAGUUCCGACCUGCACGAAUGGCGUAAUGAUGGCCAGGCUGUCUCCACCCGAGACUCAGUGAAAUUGAACUCGCUGUGAAGAUGCAGUGUACCCGCGGCAAGACGGAAAGACCCCGUGAACCUUUACUAUAGCUUGACACUGAACAUUGAGCCUUGAUGUGUAGGAUAGGUGGGAGGCUUUGAAGUGUGGACGCCAGUCUGCAUGGAGCCGACCUUGAAAUACCACCCUUUAAUGUUUGAUGUUCUAACGUUGACCCGUAAUCCGGGUUGCGGACAGUGUCUGGUGGGUAGUUUGACUGGGGCGGUCUCCUCCUAAAGAGUAACGGAGGAGCACGAAGGUUGGCUAAUCCUGGUCGGACAUCAGGAGGUUAGUGCAAUGGCAUAAGCCAGCUUGACUGCGAGCGUGACGGCGCGAGCAGGUGCGAAAGCAGGUCAUAGUGAUCCGGUGGUUCUGAAUGGAAGGGCCAUCGCUCAACGGAUAAAAGGUACUCCGGGGAUAACAGGCUGAUACCGCCCAAGAGUUCAUAUCGACGGCGGUGUUUGGCACCUCGAUGUCGGCUCAUCACAUCCUGGGGCUGAAGUAGGUCCCAAGGGUAUGGCUGUUCGCCAUUUAAAGUGGUACGCGAGCUGGGUUUAGAACGUCGUGAGACAGUUCGGUCCCUAUCUGCCGUGGGCGCUGGAGAACUGAGGGGGGCUGCUCCUAGUACGAGAGGACCGGAGUGGACGCAUCACUGGUGUUCGGGUUGUCAUGCCAAUGGCACUGCCCGGUAGCUAAAUGCGGAAGAGAUAAGUGCUGAAAGCAUCUAAGCACGAAACUUGCCCCGAGAUGAGUUCUCCCUGACUCCUUGAGAGUCCUGAAGGAACGUUGAAGACGACGACGUUGAUAGGCCGGGUGUGUAAGCGCAGCGAUGCGUUGAGCUAACCGGUACUAAUGAACCGUGAGGCUUAACCUUACAACGCCGAAGCUGUU